AGAGUUUGAUCAUGGCUCAGAUUGAACGCUGGCGGUAUGCUUAACACAUGCAAGUCGAACGGUAGCAGGCCUUCGGGCGCUGACGAGUGGCGGACGGGUGAGUAACGCGUAGGAAUCUGCCUCAUAGUGGGGGACAACGUGGGGAAACUCACGCUAAUACCGCAUACGCCCUACGGGGGAAAGCGGGGGAUCUUCGGACCUCGCGCUAUGAGAUGAGCCUGCGUUAGAUUAGCUGGUUGGUGGGGUAAAGGCCUACCAAGGCGACGAUCUAUAGCUGGUCUGAGAGGACGAUCAGCCACACUGGGACUGAGACACGGCCCAGACUCCUACGGGAGGCAGCAGUGGGGAAUAUUGGACAAUGGGCGCAAGCCUGAUCCAGCAAUACCGCGUGUGUGAAGAAGGCCCUAGGGUUGUAAAGCACUUUCAAUGGGGAGGAAAACCUGUCGGUCAAUACCCGGCAGCUUGACAUUACCUAUAGAAGAAGCACCGGCUAACUCCGUGCCAGCAGCCGCGGUAAUACGGAGGGUGCGAGCGUUAAUCGGAAUUACUGGGCGUAAAGCGUGCGUAGGCGGUUAAUUAAGUCAGAUGUGAAAGCCCCGGGCUUAACCUGGGAACGGCAUUUGAUACUGGCUAACUAGAGUUUAAUAGAGGGGAGUGGAAUUUCAGGUGUAGCGGUGAAAUGCGUAGAUAUCUGAAGGAACACCAGUGGCGAAGGCGACUCCCUGGAUUAAAACUGACGCUGAGGUACGAAAGCGUGGGUAGCAAACAGGAUUAGAUACCCUAGUAGUCC
RNAcentral lists this ribosomal RNA (790 nucleotides) under uncultured bacterium. RNAcentral describes it as "bacterial SSU rRNA". It matches the Rfam family "Bacterial small subunit ribosomal RNA", at positions 8 to 796 of the family's 1533-position model. The record is from RNAcentral.